AAUGGCGAACGAAAACUUCAGAAGCGUAAAUGAAAUCUUCAGAAUCGUAAACGAAAACUUUAGAAGCGUAAAUGAAAACUCUGGAAGUGCAUUUGUAAGUACAGAUCAACGAAUGAAAGAUGAGAAAACAGUUGCAAAACCUGCAGUGUAUUAAAAACGAGGUCAAAGAUUUUGCCUGUAAUUUAUUUAUUUUUUAGUUUCAAAGACAUUUUAUUCAGUUUCACUUGAUAUUUUCAUACGUUUCUUUAAAAAUUACAUUCAUUUUAUUUGGCACAAAUCUAAUUCCAUACCAUUCGAACAAGUCUGCGUGAGCGCGCGAUGUUUGAAGAGACCCGAGACCGGUUGAUGAUGCACGCGAUGGAUUUGGAAAACAUCAUGAAACGGUGUUCAUGGAGUUCUACAGGAUUGUGGGCAAGAAUCUCAAGCAGUCAUCUAACUGAGAUAUUUCAGUCUAAAGAGAGAAUGUUGGGCAGCUGUUGACCGCUUUCACAAAAAAUCAAGACCAGAGCCAUAGAGAGACAGAGUUGCGACAACGGAAGUUCAGAACGCUCGAUCGUCACGUGGUUCACGUAGACCUCAACAGUUCCAGGAAGUUCAUAGCGGGCAAUUGGAAUGCAUUGAGUUAGUGACUAUAGUGAGACAGAACUGCGAUUUUUGGCAAUUAGUAGACAAUAAAAUACUUUAUUUACAUUAUUUAUAAAAUAAUGUAUACGUAGUAUAUGUAGCUGUAUCAGUGUUGUUUUUAAAAUAUAAAAUUCGUUCAUAUUUGAGGAUUAAUGUGGUCAGCUGUCCUUACCUGCCAUGUUAACACAUUUUAGGCUGACGUUACCAUAGUAAAAGCCCAUGUUUGCUAUAUAAACAACAUCGUGGUCUUUUACCAAGUAACUUCAGCCUCUCUGUAUAAAUAUAAUUGUGUGUGUGUUUUCUAACAACUUGUUAGUCAAGUGCAAUCACAUCUUUAUGUUCAUUGUCGUUUUAUUAAUCUCAUGGUAAAUGUUAAAUUUGUUGUCUUUGAAAAUUCAUUCCAAAUAAGUGAAGAUAUUUUAAGAUUAAGUGGGAAUUAAUCUCUUUUAAUGUUUUUGAUUCUUGUGCACCCCUCCAUUAUUAAUAUAUAAAUAUAUAUUUGUAGUAUAUUCAAAUUUAAAAUAACUUAAAACAUUUUUACCCAUUUAAUCAUAUAUUUGAUGCAUGUUAACUUUUGUUAUGCACUUAUUUACAUGCUAUAAAGCAUGUCCUUGAACGGUCUCCACUAUAGUUUGCUGUGCUGCAUGGGAGCGCUCCAGUCUCACAGAAAGGAGUAUGAAUGUAUGGUUUCCCUACUGACACGGAGAGGAGAAAAAAAUUAUGCAUCAAGUUUUGUUCAAUUCACAUUUAUUUGUAUAGCACUUUUUAUUACAAACAUUGUUUCAAAGCAGCUUUACAGAAAAUGAAUGUUUCUACAUUACAAAUAAGAGUUCUGUUAACAGAUGUAACGGUGUCAAAGUAAUGCUCAUAUGGCAGAUAUGUUCUGAAAUUAGGCUUUACAAAUCAUGCAGUUAAGUAAUGUCAUGAGUUCAGAAACAAUGAAUAAAUUAAAGCAAUGGUUACAUGAUUUGAUCAUGUUGAUUACAAUGAAAGGAAAAUUUAGCAGUUUUGUAUGUUUAUUCAGAGUCAGAGUCAGCUUCAUCUGAAGUUCACUCAAGGGCUGGCGUCAUCUCUUCACAGGUGCUGGUCAUCUGAAGUCUUCAUAAGAGGCUGGAUAUAGUCAGCAGGUGCAAUCUAUAGAUUACACCAACAAAAUGUGAUGUAAUCAUAUGGGAACUGACACUUUUUCACAAAGAACAGGGAAAGACUUGCCAAACCCAGUGAAGACUCAUUGUGAGGGUGAUUUCUCAUUACAGGGAGUCUUCAGGUGGUUCUUGUUCUGAUCCAGAUAGAGAAGGAGAAAAACACAGGAGAAAUGGUUAAUGAUGCUCCAUCACAUUUCAGUCCCGUGGAAUCUGCUCCUUCAACACAGUGCUUCUACAGUAGCUAAGACAUUUAAGUAUAAAAUACAGUACAGGUUUAUUGUGAUUACUUCUAUAAAAUAGUAGCGGUAGGCCUAUAUAAUACAUUUCUGGAAAUUUAGCCUAGCAUGAUUCUGAAAUGAAAACUGAAUUUUUAUUCUCACUCAGGUCCAUCAGCAUCCUUUGCAAUAAAUCUAAAUAUAUUAAAUAACUUCCCAGCAGCAGAAAUCACGUUUAAAAGCCUUAAUUACACAACAACGAAUGAAACUGCCCGAAGAGAAUGAAUAACAUCCCGUAAAUCUACUAAUUAAGUGAGGAAUAAUCUAAUAAUAAUCUGUUUUAAUGCACAAGGUAAUUUGAUUAGCUGUGCUGAUAAUAUACAAUUUUGUUCU
Long non-coding RNA from Onychostoma macrolepis, 2377 nucleotides. RefSeq lists it as uncharacterized. The transcript is spliced from 3 exons. Lineage: Eukaryota; Metazoa; Chordata; Actinopteri; Cypriniformes; Cyprinidae. The record is from RefSeq and is a predicted model, not a curated record.